UACGUAGGGUGCAAGCGUUGUCCGGAAUUAUUGGGCGUAAAGAGCUCGUAGGCGGUUUGUCGCGUCGGCUGUGAAAGCCCGGGGCUCAACCCCGGGCCUGCAGCCGAUACGGGCAAACUAGAAUUCGGUAGGGGAGACUGGAAUUCCUGGUGUAGCGGUGAAAUGCGCAGAUAUCAGGAGGAACACCGGUGGCGAAGGCGGAUCUCUGGGCCUGUUCUGACGCUGAGGCGCGAAAGCUAGGGGAGCGAACAGG
RNAcentral lists this ribosomal RNA (253 nucleotides) under uncultured bacterium. RNAcentral describes it as "partial 16S ribosomal RNA". It matches the Rfam family "Bacterial small subunit ribosomal RNA", at positions 524 to 776 of the family's 1533-position model. The record is from RNAcentral.